RNAcentral lists this ribosomal RNA (1489 nucleotides) under uncultured bacterium. Its description in RNAcentral is "16S ribosomal RNA". It matches the Rfam family "Bacterial small subunit ribosomal RNA". The record is from RNAcentral.
AGAGUUUGAUCCUGGCUCAGGAUGAACGCUAGCGGCAGGCUUAACACAUGCAAGUCGAGGGGCAGCGAGUAGAUUGCUUGCAAUCUACGUCGGCGACCGGCGCACGGGUGCGUAACGCGUAUGCAACCUACCCAUUACAGGGGGAUAACACUGAGAAAUCGGUACUAAUACCCCAUAACAUCCAGGGAGGCAUCUUCUUGGGUUGAAAACUCCGGUGGUAAUGGAUGGGCAUGCGUUGUAUUAGUUAGUUGGUGGGGUAACGGCUCACCAAGACAACGAUACAUAGGGGGACUGAGAGGUUAACCCCCCACAUUGGUACUGAGACACGGACCAAACUCCUACGGGAGGCAGCAGUGAGGAAUAUUGGUCAAUGGACGCAAGUCUGAACCAGCCAUGCCGCGUGCAGGAAGACGGCUCUAUGAGUUGUAAACUGCUUUUGUACGAGGGUAAACGCAGAUACGCGUAUCUGUCUGAAAGUAUCGUACGAAUAAGGAUCGGCUAACUCCGUGCCAGCAGCCGCGGUAAUACGGAGGAUUCAAGCGUUAUCCGGAUUUAUUGGGUUUAAAGGGUGCGUAGGCGGUCGGAUAAGUUAGAGGUGAAAUCCCGGGGCUCAACUUCGGAAUUGCCUCUGAUACUGUUCGGCUAGAGAGUAGUUGCGGUAGGCGGAAUGUAUGGUGUAGCGGUGAAAUGCUUAGAGAUCAUACAGAACACCGAUUGCGAAGGCAGCUUACCAAGCUACUUCUGACGUUGAGGCACGAAAGCGUGGGGAGCAAACAGGAUUAGAUACCCUGGUAGUCCACGCAGUAAACGAUGAUAACUCGUUGUCGGCGAUACAAUGUCGGUGACUAAGCGAAAGCGAUAAGUUAUCCACCUGGGGAGUACGUUCGCAAGAAUGAAACUCAAAGGAAUUGACGGGGGCCCGCACAAGCGGAGGAACAUGUGGUUUAAUUCGAUGAUACGCGAGGAACCUUACCCGGGCUUGAAAGUUAGUGACAGAUCUGGAAACAGGUCUUCCCUUCGGGGCACGAAACUAGGUGCUGCAUGGUUGUCGUCAGCUCGUGCCGUGAGGUGUCGGGUUAAGUCCCAUAACGAGCGCAACCCCUACCGUCAGUUGCCAGCAGGUCAAGCUGGGCACUCUGGCGGGACUGCCGGUGUAAGCCGAGAGGAAGGUGGGGAUGACGUCAAAUCAGCACGGCCCUUACGUCCGGGGCUACACACGUGUUACAAUGGCAGGUACAGAGGGCAGCUACCCAGCGAUGGGAUGCGAAUCUCGAAAGCCUGUCUCAGUUCGGAUUGGAGGCUGAAACCCGCCUCCAUGAAGUUGGAUUCGCUAGUAAUCGCGCAUCAGCCAUGGCGCGGUGAAUACGUUCCCGGGCCUUGUACACACCGCCCGUCAAGCCAUGGAAGCUGGGGGUGCCUGAAGUUCGUGACCGCAAGGAGCGACCUAGGGCAAAACCGGUGACUGGGGCUAAGUCGUAACAAGGUAACC